Molecule: ribosomal RNA, 419 nt
Filed under: bacterium
Lineage: Bacteria
Description: partial 16S ribosomal RNA
Rfam family: Bacterial small subunit ribosomal RNA
Source: RNAcentral
UGGGGGAUAUUGCACAAUGGGCGAAAGCCUGAUGCAGCGACGCCGCGUGGGGGAUGAAGGCCUUCGGGUUGUAAACUUCUUUUGCUCUGAACAAGGCAUGCUAAUGGGUGUGUUGAGUGUAGGGGUUGAUUAGCGCCCGCUAACUACGUGCCAGCAGCCGCGGUAAUACGUAGGGCGCGAGCGUUGUCCGGAAUUAUUGGGCGUAAAGGGCUUGUAGGUGGCUGGUUGCGUCUGUCGUGAAAGCUCAUGGCUUAACUGUGGGUUUGCGGUGGGUACGGGCUGGCUUGAGUGCAGUAGGGGAGGCUGGAAUUCCUGGUGUAGCGGUGGAAUGCGCAGAUAUCAGGAGGAAUACCGGUGGCGAAGGCGGGUCUCUGGGCUGUUACUGACACUGAGGAGCGAAAGCAUGGGGAGCGAACAGG